UAACACGUGAGCAACCUGCCCCGAAGACUGGGAUAGCACCGGGAAACCGGUGCUAAUACCGGAUGCCCUCCUCUGGUCGCAUGGCCUAGGGAGGAAAUGAAUUUUGCUUCGGGAGGGGCUCGCGGGCUAUCAGCUUGUUGGUGAGGUAACGGCUCACCAAGGCGACGACGGCUAGCUGGUCUGAGAGGACGACCAGCCACACUGGGACUGAGACACGGUCCAG
This 223-nucleotide ribosomal RNA is filed under the name uncultured bacterium. RNAcentral's name for it is "partial 16S ribosomal RNA". It matches the Rfam family "Bacterial small subunit ribosomal RNA", at positions 111 to 334 of the family's 1533-position model. The record is from RNAcentral.